CAGCAGCCGCGGGAAAACGUAGGUGGCAAGCGUUGUCCGGAUUUAUUGGGCGUAAAGCGAGCGCAGGCGGUUUCUUAAGUCUGAUGUGAAAGCCCCCGGCUCAACCGGGGAGGGUCAUUGGAAACUGGGAGACUUGAGUGCAGAAGAGGAGAGUGGAAUUCCAUGUGUAGCGGUGAAAUGCGUAGAUAUAUGGAGGAACACCAGUGGCGAAGGCGGCUCUCUGGUCUGUAACUGACGCUGAGGCUUGAAAGCGUGGGGAGCAAACAGGAUUAGAUACCCGCGUAGUCCCUGUCUCUUAUAA
RNAcentral lists this ribosomal RNA (301 nucleotides) under uncultured bacterium. RNAcentral's name for it is "partial 16S ribosomal RNA". It matches the Rfam family "Bacterial small subunit ribosomal RNA", at positions 509 to 809 of the family's 1533-position model. The record is from RNAcentral.